Molecule: unclassified non-coding RNA, 207 nt
Filed under: soil metagenome
Description: partial contains 5.8S ribosomal RNA, internal transcribed spacer 2, and large subunit ribosomal RNA
Source: RNAcentral
AACCAUAGAAACCUGCGGAGUACCUGCGGAAGGAUCAUUACCGAGUUUACAACUCCCAAACCCCUGUGAACAUACCUAUACGUUGCCUCGGCGGAUCAGCCCGCGCCCCGUAAAACGGGACGGCCCGCCCGAGGACCCUAAACUCUGUUUUUAGUGGAACUUCUGAGUAAAACAAACAAAUAAAUCAAAACUUUCAACAACGGAUCU